This 119-nucleotide ribosomal RNA is filed under the name Phasianus colchicus (ring-necked pheasant). The record is from RNAcentral. Lineage: Eukaryota; Metazoa; Chordata; Aves; Galliformes; Phasianidae.
GCAUACAGCCAUCCGACCCUGGCAACGCCCGAUCGCUUCCGAUCUCGGAUGCUAAGCAGGGUCGGGCCUGGUUAGUACUUGGAUGGGAGACCUCCUGGGAAUACCGGGUGCUGUAGGCU